GGGCGCUUAGUUCAGUGGUAGAACGUCUUGCUUACACCAAGAAGGUCGUAGGUUCGAUCCCUACAGCGCCCA
RNAcentral lists this transfer RNA (72 nucleotides) under Candidatus Jorgensenbacteria bacterium. Its description in RNAcentral is "tRNA-Val". It matches the Rfam family "tRNA". From Rfam's summary of the family: Transfer RNA (tRNA) molecules are approximately 80 nucleotides in length. Their secondary structure includes four short double-helical elements and three loops (D, anti-codon, and T loops). The record is from RNAcentral. Lineage: Bacteria; Candidatus Joergenseniibacteriota. RNAcentral also lists the same sequence under 1 other name.